This 314-nucleotide ribosomal RNA is filed under the name Klebsiella pneumoniae. Its description in RNAcentral is "partial 23S ribosomal RNA". It matches the Rfam family "Bacterial large subunit ribosomal RNA", at positions 2629 to 2925 of the family's 2925-position model. The record is from RNAcentral. Lineage: Bacteria; Pseudomonadati; Pseudomonadota; Gammaproteobacteria; Enterobacterales; Enterobacteriaceae.
GUUCGGUCCCUAUCUGCCGUGGGCGCUGGAGAAUUGAGGGGGGCUGCUCCUAGUACGAGAGGACCGGAGUGGACGCAUCACUGGUGUUCGGGUUGUCAUGCCAAUGGCACUGCCCGGUAGCUAAAUGCGGAAGAGAUAAGUGCUGAAAGCAUCUAAGCACGAAACUUGCCCCGAGAUGAGUUCUCCCUGAGACUUUAAGUCUCCUGAAGGAACGUUAAAGACGAUGACGUUGAUAGGCCGGGUGUGUAAGCGCAGCGAUGCGUUGAGCUAACCGGUACUAAUGAACCGUGAGGCUUAACCUUACAACGCCGAAG